RNAcentral lists this long non-coding RNA (235 nucleotides) under Malus domestica (apple). RNAcentral's name for it is "long non-coding RNA (MDOM_LNC015487)". Lineage: Eukaryota; Viridiplantae; Streptophyta; Magnoliopsida; Rosales; Rosaceae. The record is from RNAcentral.
GUUGGUGGCUCACGAGGAUUUGACGAUGGUUCUAACAGAUCAUCAUAAAUGUAGGACCAUCUUUAGUAUUGUAUAAUUAGCAUUUGUCUUGCUGGACUGCACCUAGGAUAUCUACGCUCUGGUUAUGUGUAGUCUCACUUACUCUCGUCUUUCACCUUAUCUUAUCUAGUGCUCUAAUAGGUUUGCUUUUUUUUCUUUUCGUUUAUUGGCAUUCCUUAUAUUAAUAUUGCUUCCC